RNAcentral lists this ribosomal RNA (183 nucleotides) under uncultured Alphaproteobacteria bacterium. Its description in RNAcentral is "partial 16S ribosomal RNA". It matches the Rfam family "Bacterial small subunit ribosomal RNA", at positions 355 to 555 of the family's 1533-position model. Lineage: Bacteria; Pseudomonadati; Pseudomonadota; Alphaproteobacteria. The record is from RNAcentral.
UGGGGAAUAUUGGACAAUGGGCGAAAGCCUGAUCCAGCAAUGCCGCGUGAGUGAUGAAGGCCUUAGGGUUGUAAAGCUCUUUUACCCGGGAUGAUAAUGACAGUACCGGGAGAAUAAGCCCCGGCUAACUCCGUGCCAGCAGCCGCGGUAAUACGGAGGGGGCUAGCGUUGUUCGGAAUUACU